Molecule: long non-coding RNA, 673 nt
Organism: Anguilla rostrata (American eel)
Lineage: Eukaryota; Metazoa; Chordata; Actinopteri; Anguilliformes; Anguillidae
Exons: 3
Source: RefSeq, a predicted model, not a curated record
UGCAUGUACUAUGGCCAGUAGGGGGCAAUGCAAAGCAGGUAGUGACCUAUGAGACGUACCAUAAAAUCGGUCGAAGAAGAAUUGGGCUUUUGGAAGAGGCUGGCGGGCUUUUGGAAGAGGCUGGCGAGCUGUUGGCGUGGAGAGAACGAAGAAAGCGAAGUCAACAGAGAGACGGGUUUUAUGAGGAAACAUGGACAAAAAGUAUGCACCAAAUCACCAACAGAAGACAGACAAGCUCUAUGCAGUAAAUGUGAGGCUAGGCUUGCGGCAGCAGUAGUGGGGAGAGAUGAACGGUCUCUGUUGAAGAGGAGUCAGACUAACAAACGCUCACAACGGGCUGCAGAUUUUCGGAGCGGAGACGGGAACAUGGAACUCAAAUUUGAAUGAUGUGUCUGAAAUUUGCUCGUGAUUGUGGCUUUCGCGCUGAUUUUGUCCGUGCGAAAUCGGAAGAAGCGUCUUCGUUUCCUGACCGCGAGAGCUGCCGCCCUCCUCCGAGCGCGUCAGCGUGGCAGCGGGAACGGGGACGGAAUUAAAUCAGCGCUCGCUGUGGAGAACAGGUAAAUCCCUGUGGAAUUCACACACCUGUGAUAACACCAUGGGAUUAUACUGCCUGGCCCACAUUCUAUAAGCAUUAAAAUCCAUUAUUCCGUAUAAACCUUAUGAGUCGGUCUUA